RNAcentral lists this ribosomal RNA (465 nucleotides) under uncultured bacterium. RNAcentral describes it as "partial 16S ribosomal RNA". It matches the Rfam family "Bacterial small subunit ribosomal RNA", at positions 339 to 795 of the family's 1533-position model. The record is from RNAcentral.
CUACGGGUGGCAGCAGUGGGGAAUAUUGGACAAUGGGGGAAACCCUGAUCCAGCAAUGCCGCGUGUGUGAAGAAGGCCUGCGGGUUGUAAAGCACUUUCGGUUGGGAGGACUGCUUCUAGCACUAAUAUUGUUGGAAGUUGACGUUACCUUCAGAAGAAGCACCGGCUAACUCCGUGCCAGCAGCCGCGGUAAUACGGAGGGUGCAGGCGUUAAUCGGAAUUACUGGGCGUAAAGCGCGCGUAGGCGGCUAGAUCAGUCGGGUGUGAAAGCCCCGGGCUUAACCUGGGAACUGCAUCCGAUACUGUCUAGCUUGAGUACAGGAGAGGGGGGUGGAAUUCCACAUGUAGCGGUGAAAUGCGUAGAUAUGUGGAGGAACACCAAUGGCGAAGGCAGCUCUCUGGCCUGAUACUGACGCUGAGGUGCGAAAGCGUGGGGAGCAAACAGGAUUAGAUACCCUCGUAGUC